AAUGAACGCUGGCGGCGUGGUUAAGACAUGCAAGUCGAACGGUUUUUCAGGUGUAGCAAUACAUUUGAAAGACAGUGGCGAACGGGUGCGUAACACGUGAACAAUCUACCUUCAAAUGGGGAAUAGCUCGCCGAAAGGCGAAUUAAUACCGCAUACGGUUGGUUCUCUCCUGAGAAUCAUACCAAAGUCCGGGACCGCAAGGCCUGACGUUUGAAGAGGAGUUCGCGGCCUAUCAGCUAGUUGGCGAGGUAACGGCUCACCAAGGCGACGAUGGCUAGGGGAGCUGAGAGGCUGGGU
RNAcentral lists this ribosomal RNA (297 nucleotides) under uncultured bacterium. Its description in RNAcentral is "partial 16S ribosomal RNA". It matches the Rfam family "Bacterial small subunit ribosomal RNA", at positions 29 to 305 of the family's 1533-position model. The record is from RNAcentral.